RNAcentral lists this ribosomal RNA (262 nucleotides) under uncultured archaeon. Its description in RNAcentral is "partial 16S ribosomal RNA". It matches the Rfam family "Archaeal small subunit ribosomal RNA", at positions 748 to 1008 of the family's 1478-position model. The record is from RNAcentral.
CAGCCGUAAACAAUGUGCGUUAGGUGUGUCGGUAACCACGCGUUACUGAUGCGCCGAAGAGAAAUCGUGAAACGCACCACCUGGGAAGUACGGUCGCAAGGCUGAAACUUAAAGGAAUUGGCGGGGGGAGGCCCACAACAGGUGGAGCCUGCGGUUUAAUUGGAUUCAACGCCGGACAUCUCACCGGAUAAGACAGCUGAAUGAUUGUCAAUCUGAAGGUUUUACAUGACUAGCUGAGAGGAGGUGCAUGGCGUCAGUGACU